UACAGAGGUGGCAAGCGUUGUUCGGAAUUACUAGGCGUAAAGGGCGCGUAGGCGGUCCUGUAAGUCUUGUGUGAAAUCCCUCGGCUUAACUGAGGAACUGCACGAGAUACUGCGAGACUUGAGUUCGGGAGAGGAAAGCGGAAUUCCGGGUGUAGCGGUGAAAUGCGUAGAUAUCCGGAGGAACACCGGUGGCGAAGGCGGCUUUCUGGACCGACACUGACGCUGAGGCGCGAAAGCUAGGGGAGCAAACGGG
This 253-nucleotide ribosomal RNA is filed under the name uncultured bacterium. Its description in RNAcentral is "partial 16S ribosomal RNA". It matches the Rfam family "Bacterial small subunit ribosomal RNA", at positions 524 to 776 of the family's 1533-position model. The record is from RNAcentral.